ACCUUUUUUCAGUUCGGGUCCAAGAUACAGACUACAGAUACAAUUGUGGAGAGCAGCGACUGAACCACCGCUCAGGCUCAGGGGUUGCAAUCCGAUUAGGGUUUUGCCGCAAGCACUCGACGAGUCAAGCUGAGAUCGUCAUCACCAAAUCCAAUGGCACCUCCUCCAGGCCCUUACUCUGGCACCAGCACCCUCGCCUUGAUGCACUCCUUUCCUUUCCCUCUGAUCUCUUCUGCCGAGGAAUGUGAUCGUAAAGUUUAUUUCUUUAACUUUUGAAUGUUUGAUAGGUUGCUCGUGCAUCGGCCUUCACUUUCGGUCUGGUUUAUGGAAGCGUGAAGCUCAGGGUUCUCAAGGCCAAGUCACAUAAGAAAGCUGAAGCCAAGGCUAAACAUUGACGGGCUGAAAUGGUUGCCGCAGGGCAACAUCAUUAUAAUUUCUUGCCAGAAGAACGUUUAUUUUAUGUUUUAGUUAGUACCCUUUAGAAGCUUCAACCAUAGGCUGAGUGAGUGCCAGCCUUUUCGGAUUGUUCUUUUGUAGUUGCAUAAGUAGUAUCCUUGAAGAAGCUAUGUGUAAGACUGGUCUUUUCUCCUGUUUCACCCUUUUAUUUUUACUUCAUUCGUUGGCGUUUUUUGUGUUGUCUUGAUUCUUGCAAGCAACAUUCUUAUGUUUUAUUACUUUUUUGUACUAGCAUUUCUUCUCAUCUAAGUCUUCCUAGCCCUUUCUGCUCCAAGGUUACGGAAAAUUUGGAAUUCAUAAUUUUGGUGGUAGAGCAUUUACCUUCGGAAAUUUUUUGUUUACACUACAUUAUGCAACUCUAGGACAGCAAAAAGGACA
Non-coding RNA from Prunus avium (sweet cherry), 834 nucleotides. Lineage: Eukaryota; Viridiplantae; Streptophyta; Magnoliopsida; Rosales; Rosaceae. The record is from RefSeq and is a predicted model, not a curated record.